GAUGAAGAACGUAACGAAAUGCGAUAAGUAAUGUGAAUUGCAGAAUUCAGUGAAUCAUCGAAUCUUUGAACGCACAUUGAGCCCCCUGGUAUUCCGGGGGGCAUGCCUGUCCGAGCGUCAUUACAACCCUCAAGCUCAGCUUGGUAUUGGGCCCCGCCGACCCGGCGGGCCCUAAAGUCAGUGGCGGUGCCGUCCGGCUCCGAGCGUAGUAAUUCUUCUCGCUCUGGAGGUCCGGUCGUGUGCUCGCCAGCAACCCCCAAUUUUUUUCAGGUUGACCUCGGAUCAGGUAGGGAUACCCGCUGAACUUAAGCAUAUCAAUAAGCGGAGGA
RNAcentral lists this unclassified non-coding RNA (329 nucleotides) under soil metagenome. Its description in RNAcentral is "partial contains 5.8S ribosomal RNA, internal transcribed spacer 2, and large subunit ribosomal RNA". The stretch from base 1 to 120 matches the Rfam family "5.8S ribosomal RNA", at positions 35 to 154 of the family's 154-position model. The record is from RNAcentral.